RNAcentral lists this ribosomal RNA (397 nucleotides) under uncultured bacterium. Its description in RNAcentral is "partial 16S ribosomal RNA". It matches the Rfam family "Bacterial small subunit ribosomal RNA", at positions 523 to 918 of the family's 1533-position model. The record is from RNAcentral.
AUACGUAGGUGGCAAGCGUUGUCCGGAUUUAUUGGGCGUAAAGCGAGCGCAGGCGGUUUCUUAAGUCUGAUGUGAAAGCCCCCGGCUCAACCGGGGAGGGUCAUUGGAAACUGGGAGACUUGGGUGCAGAAGAGGAGAGUGGAAUUCCAUGUGUAGCGGUGAAAUGCGUAGAUAUAUGGAGGAACACCAGUGGCGAAGGCGACUCUCUGGUCUGUAACUGACGCUGAGGCUCGAAAGCGUGGGGAGCAAACAGGAUUAGAUACCCUGGUAGUCCACGCCGUAAACGAUGAGUGCUAAGUGUUGGAGGGUUUCCGCCCUUCAGUGCUGCAGCUAACGCAUUAAGCACUCCGCCUGGGGAGUACGACCGCAAGGUUGAAACUCAAAUGAAUUGACGGGG